RNAcentral lists this RNase P RNA (342 nucleotides) under bovine gut metagenome. RNAcentral describes it as "Bacterial RNase P class A". It matches the Rfam family "Bacterial RNase P class A". From Rfam's summary of the family: Ribonuclease P (RNase P) is a ubiquitous endoribonuclease, found in archaea, bacteria and eukarya as well as chloroplasts and mitochondria. The record is from RNAcentral.
AGUCGGUCGGACAGCCGCGGGCAUAAGGGGAAACCCUGUGCGUGAGGAAAGUCCGGGCUCCAAAGGGCAAGGAUAACGGGUAACACCCGCCGGGGGCGACCCCCGGACAAGUGCAACAGAGAUAUACCGCCCCGCCGCAGCGGCGAGGUAAGGGUGGAAAGGCGAGGUAAGAGCUCACCCGGGGCGUGGAGACACGUUCCCGCUGUAAACUCUAUCCGGAGCAACACCGUGGAGGGACAUAAGGUCUGCCCGGCCGUCCCAUGGAGGUGGCUUGAGCCUUGAGGCAACUCAAGGCGUAGAUAGAUGGCUGUCGAUUACAGAACCCGGCUUACAGACCGGCUG